This 278-nucleotide long non-coding RNA is filed under the name Elaeis guineensis (African oil palm). RNAcentral describes it as "long non-coding RNA (EGUI_LNC025097)". Lineage: Eukaryota; Viridiplantae; Streptophyta; Magnoliopsida; Arecales; Arecaceae. The record is from RNAcentral.
AAAUUCUUCUUAAUUAUUUUUUGAUGAGCCCUAUUUAAGUUUGACAUACAAAAUACAUAAAAACUAUAUGCUAGAUGGGCAAAAAUUUAAUAUUUAUUUUAGAAAAUAUAAAAAUACUUAUAAAUUAUUUUAAGAAAUACAUAAUCUCUUCUUGAUUACCUUUUUUCAAGCUCUAUGUACAGUUGAUAUACCAAAAAAAUCCUAAAAAUAUUAUAUUUUAGUUAGUAUCAUGGUGAUUGGAAGGGUUAGAGUGCCAUUCAGUGUUAUUGAAGGGUCAU